AUUAACUAGAUUAUGCCUAAUGCC
Molecule: non-coding RNA, 24 nt
Filed under: Arabidopsis thaliana (thale cress)
Lineage: Eukaryota; Viridiplantae; Streptophyta; Magnoliopsida; Brassicales; Brassicaceae
Source: RNAcentral